Molecule: ribosomal RNA, 626 nt
Filed under: Apiotrichum montevideense
Lineage: Eukaryota; Fungi; Basidiomycota; Tremellomycetes; Trichosporonales; Trichosporonaceae
Description: eukaryotic LSU rRNA
Rfam family: Eukaryotic large subunit ribosomal RNA
Source: RNAcentral
UAAGCGGAGGAAAAGAAACUAACAAGGAUUCCCCUAGUAACGGCGAGUGAACCGGGAAAAGCUCAAAUUUGAAAUCUGGCUGUCUUCGAUAGUCCGAGUUGUAAUCUAUAGAAGCGUUUUCCGUGCUGAACUGUGUCUAAGUCCCUUGGAACAGGGUAUCAAAGAGGGUGAUAAUCCCGUACUUGACACAACCAUCAGUGCUCUGUGAUACGUUCUCUACGAGUCGAGUUGUUUGGGAAUGCAGCUCAAAAUGGGUGGUAAAUUCCAUCUAAAGCUAAAUAUUGGCGAGAGACCGAUAGCGAACAAGUACCGUGAGGGAAAGAUGAAAAGCACUUUGGAAAGAGAGUUAAACAGUACGUGAAAUUGUUGAAAGGGAAACGAUUGAAGUCAGUCGUGUUCAUUGGAUUCAGCUAGUUCUUCUAGUCUACUUCCUUUGAACGGGUCAACAUCAGUUUUGUCCGGUGGAUAAAGGAUUUAGGAAUGUGACUCCCUCGGGAGUGUUAUAGCCUAGGUUCACAUACACUGGGUGAGACUGAGGACUGCAGCUCGCCUUUUGGCCGGGGUUCGCCCACGUUCGAGCUUAGGAUGUUGACAUAAUGGCUUUAAACGACCCGUCUUGAAACACG